RNAcentral lists this ribosomal RNA (434 nucleotides) under uncultured Oscillospiraceae bacterium. Its description in RNAcentral is "bacterial SSU rRNA". It matches the Rfam family "Bacterial small subunit ribosomal RNA", at positions 341 to 792 of the family's 1533-position model. Lineage: Bacteria; Bacillati; Bacillota; Clostridia; Eubacteriales; Oscillospiraceae. The record is from RNAcentral.
ACGGAAGGCAGCAGUCGGGAAUAUUGCGCAAUGGAGGAAACUCUGACGCAGUGACGCCGCGUGCAGGCAGAAGGUUUUCGGAUUGUAAACUGCUUUAGACAGGGAAGAAAAAGACAGUACCUGUAGAAUAAGCUCCGGCUAACUACGUGCCAGCAGCCGCGGUAAUACGUAGGGGGCAAGCGUUAUCCGGAUUUAUUGGGUGUAAAGGGUGCGUAGACGGUAAAUUAAGUUAGUUGUGAAAUCCCCCGGCUUAACUGGGGAACUGCACCUAAAACUGGUUUUCUUGAGUACUGGAGAGGAAAGCGGAAUUCCUAGUGUAGCGGUGAAAUGCGUAGAUAUUAGGAGGAACACCAGUGGCGAAGGCGGCUUUCUGGACAGAAACUGACGUUGAUGCACGAAAGUGUGGGGAGCAAACAGGAUUAGAUACCCUGGUA